Molecule: ribosomal RNA, 450 nt
Filed under: uncultured bacterium
Lineage: Bacteria
Description: bacterial SSU rRNA
Rfam family: Bacterial small subunit ribosomal RNA
Source: RNAcentral
GUGGGGAAUAUUGGACAAUGGGCGAAAGCCUGAUCCAGCCAUGCCGCGUGUGUGAAGAAGGUCUUCGGAUUGUAAAGCACUUUAAGUUGGGAGGAAGGGCAGUAAGUUAAUACCUUGCUGUUUUGACGUUACCGACAGAAUAAGCACCGGCUAACUUCGUGCCAGCAGCCGCGGUAAUACGAAGGGUGCAAGCGUUAAUCGGAAUUACUGGGCGUAAAGCGCGCGUAGGUGGUUUUGUAAGUUGGAGGUGAAAUCCCCGGGCUCAACCUGGGAACUGCCUCCAAAAAUUCAUGACUAGAGUACAGUAGAGGGUAGUGGAAUUUCCUGUGUAGCGGUGAAAUGCGUAGAUAUAGGAAGGAACACCAGUGGCGAAGGCGACUACCUGGACUGAUACUGACACUGAGGUGCGAAAGCGUGGGGAGCAAACAGGAUUAGAAACCCUAGUAGUCC